RNAcentral lists this ribosomal RNA (365 nucleotides) under uncultured bacterium. Its description in RNAcentral is "bacterial SSU rRNA". It matches the Rfam family "Bacterial small subunit ribosomal RNA", at positions 29 to 421 of the family's 1533-position model. The record is from RNAcentral.
AACGAACGCUGGCGGCAGGCCUAACACAUGCAAGUCGAACGCCCCGCAAGGGGAGUGGCAGACGGGUGAGUAACGCGUGGGAACGUGCCCUUCGGUUCGGAAUAACUCAGGGAAACUUGAGCUAAUACCGGAUACGUCCGUAAGGAGAAAGAUUUAUCGCCGAAGGAUCGGCCCGCGUCGGAUUAGCUAGUUGGUGAGGUAACGGCCCACCAAGGCGACGAUCCGUAGCUGGUCUGAGAGGAUGANCAGCCACACUGGGACUGAGACACCGGCCCAGACUCCUACGGGAGGGCAGCAGUGGGGAAUAUUGGACAAUGGGCGCAAGCCUGAUCCAGCCAUGCCGCGUGAGUGACGAAGGUCUUCGG